Molecule: long non-coding RNA, 2033 nt
Filed under: Triticum aestivum (bread wheat)
Lineage: Eukaryota; Viridiplantae; Streptophyta; Magnoliopsida; Poales; Poaceae
Description: long non-coding RNA (TAES_LNC011908)
Source: RNAcentral
UUAGGGCAACUCGAUGGUAGCCAGUCGGAGUUUGCUAGGUUACAUAUGCAAGUCCUUUUGAAAUCUCAAACUUCUUUGUGGUGAUGAGCUUCUGCUCAUCUUGAUUGAUUCCUCUACAGUGAAGGGGUGUGUCUUCUGAUGCUUUCAUUUUCUCUUUCAUACUGUGGAGUUCAUCUUUGUCUUGGAGAACAUCACCAUGUGCCUGCUAUUGUUUAUGUGGUUGUAUGGAGUGUUCCUUCAACUAAUUAGGCAACGCCCUUAAAUCUAACAAUCAAACUCCGAGAGAAUCAUUUAUACUUGAACCAGAAAGGCCAAUUCUGUGUCUCAAUUUUGUUUAGGAAUAUUAGCAAGUUGAGUAACCUUGUUCUUUCUAGAAUAGGGACAUUCCUGGUUUUUGUGUCUGUGGUUUCUACUUUUAUUAUGCUGCUUAUUUUUGUGGUUUCAUUUGAACAAGAUGUCACUCUUGUUUCCGUCGUUAUACAUAUUUUCGAAGCCAUAGCAGCAUGUUGUGCUUUGUCAGCACAUUUGUGCAUGUGUGAGGUCGCAGAUGAAGAAGCACUGAAUGCUCAUUAUAUUCUCCUCUUCUCUGAUCUUCUAUACACAUAUAUAAGAUGUGUCUUAUUUCCUUGUGUUUCCUAAGGAUCUUUCUUGAUUGAUUGUUUGACAGUGACUAUUAUGUAAAAAUGUUUUCAGUUGCUGUUUAGUACGGAUGCCUCCAUGGUUGUAUAGGCAUCCAUGGUUCUGUGAGGAGGUUAUCUAUGUCGUUCUAUUUUAUAUACUCCCUCCGUUCCUAAAUAUUUGUCACGAAUUGCACAUGGUCAUGUUAGUUGUUUGUUUCUUUUGAUCAUAUUGAUGUUGAGUUGUGGGUUUACACAUUUUACCUUGAAAUGUUUAUAUGUGUGUCCAGUUGUUUUUGGAUGGUCUACGAUUUUGUUUGUGUUUAGUUUACAUUUCUCUCCUGAAGAUCUUGCUACCCAGUUGUAUUGCUAUAUUUCCUAUAAUAGGAAGUUAAUUAUAUUUUUACUGUUUUGGCAGCCCUAACAGAUAGACCGAGGUCUCUACUGGCUCGGAAGACUGGACUUGAGGCACAUGUAAAAUUAAUGUCUCUUGCUACUCUCGUGAUCUAUAUCCAGAGUGCAAGUCAGGUCUUGGAAUGCCCAGGUGAGACUGAUCAUUCCAUGGCCUCUGUUUUUCUUGCUGGGUGGAUUACACGUUACUUCCUUGGAUGUUUUAAGGUUAUUAUAUCCUUGCUCCCCUUUUUGUUGGCAAGCAUUCUCUCGGCUUCUGGCAACUUGAGUAAGAUGCAACACACUAAUGCUAUCUUAGUCUGGUUUGUUCUUGCAGAAAAUAAGUGAAGUGUGCAGACAGGCAGCAUGGAAACACUAAAGAGAGGCUUCAGACAAACUAAUAGCUGGAGUGAUUUCCUACAUGUAGUGACCGACUUGGAAGAAAUAAGUUUCAGCUAUUUCUAAAGAUAUUAUAUCAUAAGACUAUUCUUAGGUUAAGGUGUUUGGCUUGGACUAAUGUGUACAUGGCUGUAGUGGUUCCAGAUUUGUUACAAGCUCCUUGUGCUGAGGAUCGUCAAAAUGGUGAAGUUUCUAUUAUUUUCGGAACUAUUGAUUCACAUGCUGAAGUGUAAUUUACCACAUCCCUAAGACAGAACAUAUACAUUUUGCCGUACAGUCACUAAUCCUAUGUUAUCAAGUUUUAUCUUAGUAGCGUAUAACCAAUGUUUACAACUGUCCAAGUAGUGUGUUUUGAAAAUAGAAGCAACGCGGCUCACACUAAGCAAUCACAUGUUUUAUCUCGAGGAAUUUUUUAAUUUUGAUAUAUUAUUUCUUACACAGCUACAAUUGGUACAAAAUACUGCUUAUUACUUUAAGCCUUUAUUGGCAUAAUUUUGUUGUGUUCUUUUCUUUAUUUAUUUUCCAUCAACAUCAAGUUGGAACCUGUUCUUUUUUUCCCAUAAUGAUUUUGAUGGUAAUUGGUCAAGUGUAUUUCUAGCUGGAAUUGCAUGUAUGUCUCAGAUUUAC